RNAcentral lists this transfer RNA (76 nucleotides) under Planctomycetota bacterium. RNAcentral's name for it is "Planctomycetes bacterium tRNA-Ala". It matches the Rfam family "tRNA". From Rfam's summary of the family: Transfer RNA (tRNA) molecules are approximately 80 nucleotides in length. Their secondary structure includes four short double-helical elements and three loops (D, anti-codon, and T loops). Further hydrogen bonds mediate the characteristic L-shaped molecular structure. tRNAs have two regions of fundamental functional importance: the anti-codon, which is responsible for specific mRNA codon recognition, and the 3' end, to which the tRNAs corresponding amino acid is attached (by aminoacyl-tRNA synthetases). tRNAs cope with the degeneracy of the genetic code in two manners: having more than one tRNA (with a specific anti-codon) for a particular amino acid; and 'wobble' base-pairing, i.e. permitting non-standard base-pairing at the 3rd anti-codon position. Lineage: Bacteria; Pseudomonadati; Planctomycetota. The record is from RNAcentral.
GGGCCUGUAGCUCAGCUGGGAGAGCGCUGCGUUCGCAAUGCAGAGGUCAGGGGUUCGAACCCCCUCAGGUCCACCA